ACCCGCUGAACUUAAGCAUAUCAAUAAGCGGAGGAAAAGAAACUAACAAGGAUUCCCCUAGUAACGGCGAGUGAAGCGGGAUGAGCUCAAAUUUAAAAUCUGGCGGCCUCAGGUCGUCCGAGUUGUAGUCUAGAGAAGCGUUUUCCGCGUUGGCCUGUGUACAAGUCCCUUGGAAUAGGGCGUCAUAGAGGGUGAGAAUCCCGUCCUUGACACAGAUCCCAAUGCUUUGUGAUACGCUCUCAAAGAGUCGAGUUGUUUGGGAAUGCAGCUCAAAAUGGGUGGUAAAUUCCAUCUAAAGCUAAAUAUUGGCGAGAGACCGAUAGCGAACAAGUACCGUGAGGGAAAGAUGAAAAGCACUUUGGAAAGAGAGUUAAACAGUACGUGAAAUUGUUGAAAGGGAAACGAUUGAAGUCAGUCAUGCUUCUCUGGAUUCAGCUUGUUCUGCAAGUGUAUUUCCAGUUUUGCAGGCCAGCAUCAGUUUUGUUUGAUGGAAAAAGCUUGAGGAACGUGGCAACCCCGGUUGUGUUAUAGCCUCUUUGCGCAUACAUCAGAUGGGACUGAGGAACGCAGUGUGCCUUUAUGGUCGGUCUUCGGACACGUACGCACUUAGGAUGCUGGCAUAAUGGCUUUAAACGACCCGUCUUGAAACACGG
Molecule: ribosomal RNA, 653 nt
Filed under: uncultured fungus
Lineage: Eukaryota; Fungi
Description: eukaryotic LSU rRNA
Rfam family: Eukaryotic large subunit ribosomal RNA
Source: RNAcentral